UUAGUCUUAUGUAUAGCGCAGCUCCCUCCAAGUUUCUUUUGCUAGUUUUGUUCCGAUCGAUGAAGGAUACUUUACUUGUGGGUUCGGAUUCGUUUUCCUAUUUCACAGGGACUUGUAUAUCAAUUCUGUCGGUGCUUCAAUAUUGUCUUGAUUGGCAGUGCAGUUUCUUAUUGUCUUGAUUGUUCUUAUUGUCUUGAUUGGCAGUUUCUUUCUUUUGAAUCUUCAGAGAGACCCUUAGAGUUCUGUCCGGGAGGGUUUGUGAGUAAACUAUGUAUCAAACCGUAAGUGAAGCGGUCUACAAAGAAUACUUUCCAUCUUCCUUCUUUGGCGCAGCUGGAGAUGCCCCACAAGGCCUUAUUUCUCAAGAUUGAAUUAUUCGCGAAAGGAAGCCGGCAAUAGAAAGCAAGCAACCUUUUUGAAUCCAUUGAAGUAGGUGGCCGUGUACACUAGGUAUCAACAAAGCAAAGGACGCUUUCUCUCACCUAACUCUUCGCCUUCGGCUUUCCAUUGAAUGAUCUAUCAGGUGUGCUAUUUAGACUCUGUCAGUUGGGGCUUAUCCCUUUUCAAUAUACAUGGCAUAUACUUACACGAAUAUUCCAACUCAUCGACUCCGCUCAAAGCAUAUGAUCAAAGCUAGAGUGGCGCACAUAGCACAAGAGACUAAUGGAAUUCUCGUUGACCUGACCGGCAGUAAUAGCGAACAAAGACUGUUCUAAUGGAAAAGGGCGAGUACCUCUUUGUGGUAGAUAACGCAACCGAACAAGAAAUUAUGCUUUAAGUAUAGCAAAGCAUCUGGGCGAGCCCCUACACCCGGAAACUGCCAGCGAAUCAUAACUGAACAAGAGGAAGUAGAGCGUCUCACUACUAUAUAUGCUGUACCACAUACGAAGACCCAAAGCCGUUCUUUCUUUAUAGAAGUCCCCAGGACUUUAAGUGCUCAAUGGAAUUUUCCUUGAAAACGAUUCCCUUUACUUCUAGACGAACUGGUUAAUAUUGAACUUGAGUUUAUUCGCCACCGCCCCUCUAUACAUUCCUUCGGCGAGAAAGAAAGCAAGAUCCUUCGGCGAGAAAGAAAGCAAGAAACGUGUUCGGAUAGGGGAGGAAUUGAGUACCUGCCCCCCUACUAAGCAUAAGGGUAUGACCAGCCAGAUCCGAUAACAGCGAUUCUCCGUCUCUGACCUGGAGUUAGAAUAUAUACUGAUCUACAGACAUUUGACCUGGAGUUAGAAUAUAAUAUAUACUGACAACAUUAGCCCAAAAUGCAAUGAUAGCUCGCAUUAUUCAUAGUAAGUCGAUACAUCAUGCUUUUGAGGAAGCUAUUCGGCUCCCUAUUUAUACAUUCUUUCCGUUUGAUGGGCGUGUUCUCGUUUCUAGGUUUGGAUGUUAUUUCAUAAGGGUAUACAAUAAUGACAUUACGUCAAUACAUUCAUCUCAUCUUUUUACGUCAAUACAUUCAUCUCAUCUUUCCAAUCUCUGAAUUCUUGAUCCGCUCAUGCCUCUCACUUUAUGCCUUCCAUUCGACUCCUACACGAAGAAGUCUGACCGUACUUUAUGCCUUAUAUUCGGCUCCUACCUUACCAAGUCCGACCGGGCUUUUCGUUAUCAACUGCUUUCUUUCUGACUUCCAUAUUUGUAUCGUGGGCUUGAGUCCGCCUACGAGUCUAGAUUUACCGUUCGGUACACAUAGCUUUGACUAUCGAAGGAUAGAACAGAACCUAUAGCCUAUUCAGUAUAAGCAUCCUUAUAGAACCUAUAGCCUAUUCAGUAUAAGCAUCCUUAGGGAGGGAAAGUAUAUAUAAGGGGACUCGCCCAAAAUACUGAGACAAUAUCUCAAUUCUUUGCAAUUCUUUUGACUUUUGGGAUUGAAACCCACUUACGGGAAUAAGGCAAGUUAGAUAUUUCACACAAGCUUGGCACCCGGGGGAAUAAGGCAAGUUAGAUAUUUCACACAAGCUUGGCACCCAGGAAUAGGCGUUUUAUGGAUGAUUCAAGCCCUGCACACUCAAAGGCGAGAACGAAGUAGCAAGUCC
RNAcentral lists this long non-coding RNA (2030 nucleotides) under Musa acuminata (dwarf banana). RNAcentral's name for it is "long non-coding RNA (MACU_LNC008127)". Lineage: Eukaryota; Viridiplantae; Streptophyta; Magnoliopsida; Zingiberales; Musaceae. The record is from RNAcentral.